RNAcentral lists this transfer RNA (97 nucleotides) under Cupriavidus sp. TKC. Its description in RNAcentral is "tRNA-Arg". The record is from RNAcentral. Lineage: Bacteria; Pseudomonadati; Pseudomonadota; Betaproteobacteria; Burkholderiales; Burkholderiaceae.
GAUCUGCUCGUCGAGCGGGCGCAGCGCCGCAGGCGCCUGGCCUGCAUAGCAGGCGGCGAUGUCGGCGCGCCACUGUUCCAGCGCGGCGAGCCGGUCG